Gopherus flavomarginatus (Mexican gopher tortoise) is the source of this 776-nucleotide long non-coding RNA. RefSeq lists it as uncharacterized. Lineage: Eukaryota; Metazoa; Chordata; Testudines; Testudinidae. The record is from RefSeq and is a predicted model, not a curated record. The transcript has 3 exons.
GGUGCCCGGUGCCCCCCCUUCGGCCGCAGGAGCACGUGCAAGGCAAGGACCCCUCUGCCCCCAGGCAGCGCCCCAGCUCCAGCCGCGGGGCCAGGGGGUGCAGGCCCCCAAGCGCCCCCGGCCCCGAAGGAGCCCCCCCCAGGAAUCAAUGCUGGGGGGGGGGGAGAUCCCAGCUAGAGUGCUCUGGGGCAGGUGAUUGGUGGGAUGGUAGCGGGACGAGGGAAGGAAGGUGAUUGGUGGGAUAGUAGCGGGACGAGGGAAGGAAGGUGAUUGGUGGGAUGGUAGCGGGACGAGGGAAGGAAGGUGAUUGGUGGGAUGGUAGCGGGAUGAGGGAAGGAAGGUGACUGGUUGGAUGGGAGCCUGGGUGGGAAGGAAGGUGAUUGGUCAGGUUGGAGGGAGCGAACGGAUUGGUGGGACAGGAUUGCAAAGGUGAAAGGGGAUGGGAGGGGUGGGGCUGAGGGCAAGGGGGAGGAGCUAUUAUCCCGCCAUCUGGCUCCUCCCCCUGCAGCUGCUGGCAGGUGGGGGGGCUGCGUGUUGGGGGAGGGAUCGAGUCACCGGGGCGUCGGCCCCAGACUGAUUUGUUCAUAGCUCGGGGGGGUGGGGGGGCCGGACACGGUGCCCGGGGGGGGGGCGAAACCCACCGGAUCCCAACCCUCUGGGGGGGCAACUGCAGGGUUAAUGCUGCCAUGCACCCCCCCCCCCGGCCAAGGGGGGGAUCUCCCAACAGCCUUGGAGCCAGCUCCCCAGCGCUAUGGAGCCAAGCCGGGUACCCCCCC